This 494-nucleotide ribosomal RNA is filed under the name uncultured bacterium. RNAcentral's name for it is "partial 16S ribosomal RNA". It matches the Rfam family "Bacterial small subunit ribosomal RNA", at positions 29 to 507 of the family's 1533-position model. The record is from RNAcentral.
ACGCACGCUGGCGGCGUGCCUAAUACAUGCAAGUAGAACGCUGAAGGAGGAGCUUGCUUCUCUGGAUGAGUUGCGAACGGGUGAGUAACGCGUAGGUAACCUGCCUGGUAGCGGGGGAUAACUAUUGGAAACGAUAGCUAAUACCGCAUAAGAGUAGAUGUUGCAUGACAUUUGCUUAAAAGGUGCAAUUGCAUCACUACCAGAUGGACCUGCGUUGUAUUAGCUAGUUGGUGGGGUAACGGCUUACCAAGGCGACGAUACAUAGCCGACCUGAGAGGGUGAUCGGCCACACUGGGACUGAGACACGGCCCAGACUCCUACGGGAGGCAGCAGUAGGGAAUCUUCGGCAAUGGACGGAAGUCUGACCGAGCAACGCCGCGUGAGUGAAGAAGGUUUUCGGAUCGUAAAGCUCUGUUGUAAGAGAAGAACGAGUGUGAGAGUGGAAAGUUCACACUGUGACGGUAUCUUACCAGAAAGGGACGGCUAACUACGUG